GUGAAACCAUCUCUAUGAUCCCAUUUACUGAGCUUAAUAACAGCAAUCAAAGUAAUAGCUGUGUGCUUUAUAAACCUUUAAUUUAAUUCUUUAUCUGACAAUGUCUAACAUUUUUAAUUUAUUCUUCCUAUAUUCACACUGAGCACUUUCUACAAUUGCUAGUACAAAGUCUAGUAUUAAGAUAAUAAAAACAAUGGAAAUAAUUCAUGCUCUCCAAAAGGGUACAAUUUCUUUGCCUAUUCAUGCCACAACUUCACUGAGUGCCAUAUACCAUAACUAUGCUUUGUAUUGGUUAAUGGAAACAGAGAUCAGAAACAUCCUCUUCCCAACUGUGUGGAGAAGUAAGCAUAUAAACUAUCAUGACAGGGUCAGACAGGUGCUCGUCACCCCUAUUCCAGGGGUAGACAUGAGUGGGAACAAAAGUAUUCUGAAGAAGGUAAAAACCGAGCUGAGGGGCUGGCAAUAUGGCCUAUUGGUAAAGUGCUUGCC
Perognathus longimembris pacificus (Pacific pocket mouse) is the source of this 489-nucleotide long non-coding RNA. RefSeq lists it as uncharacterized. The transcript is spliced from 3 exons. The record is from RefSeq and is a predicted model, not a curated record. NCBI's taxonomy places the organism in Eukaryota, Metazoa, Chordata, Mammalia, Rodentia, Heteromyidae.